This 371-nucleotide ribosomal RNA is filed under the name uncultured eukaryote. RNAcentral's name for it is "partial 18S ribosomal RNA". It matches the Rfam family "Eukaryotic small subunit ribosomal RNA", at positions 592 to 976 of the family's 1831-position model. The record is from RNAcentral.
CAAUAGCGUAUAUUAAAGUUGUUGCAGUUAAAAAGCUCGUAGUUGAAUUUCUGUCAGGAGUGACCGGGCCUUUGGAUGAACUUCCAUUGUUUUUUGCUCUGUUUGUCAUCUCUAGACAUCCUGAAAUAUUUUUUAAAAAUAUUUCUCUUUUACUGUUAGCAAAAUAGAGUGUUCCAAGCAAAGCGUAGUUUUGAAUACAUUAGAAUGGAAUAAUAAGAUAGGACUUUGGUGCUAUUUUGUUGGUUUGCACACCAAGGUAAUGAUUAAUAGGGACAGUUGGGGGUAUUCGUAUUUAAUUGUCAGAGGUGAAAUUCUUGGAUUUAUGAGAGACGAACUACUGCGAAAGCAUUUACCAAGGAUGUUUUCAUUAA